UAUACACCAAGUACCAACCAUUGUAUAUUUAUAUAAUCGCAACUACUAUGUAGAUAAAAUCUGCAUCGUGAUCGCGAACCAAGGAGUCUGCAAGACAGUAUCAAAUAUUAACUAUUAUCAUCAUAGGUGUCUUCAGUCAUUUCGAAUCAAAAUUUUUUAGGAAUAUUUAUGUCAUCAAAUACGAACGAUUGGACCUAACACCUAAACAAGUUUUGGAUAUUGAUGCAUUUUAAUUGCCCAAAAAGAUGAUGACAGACAGAAAAAAAAGGUAUUUCAUUAUAGAUCAAUGCAAAUACGGAUGUUAUAGCAAGUAUUAAAAACCAUAUCCAUAAUAAUAAGUAAAUUUUUUCGUUCAAAACGUUUUGAGAGAG
This is a long non-coding RNA of Melanaphis sacchari, 371 nucleotides long. RefSeq lists it as uncharacterized. The record is from RefSeq and is a predicted model, not a curated record. The transcript is spliced from 3 exons. NCBI's taxonomy places the organism in Eukaryota, Metazoa, Arthropoda, Insecta, Hemiptera, Aphididae.